AGUAGGGGCAGAUGAAUGAAAGUAACUCAUAGGCACCAGUCACUGUGUUACUUCGACUACUGGGGGAAAGGAACCAAAGUCACCGUUACCUCAGCUCAACCGUCUCCGCCAAAGUCGAUCUUCGCCAUGUCCCAGUGCUCUCCUGAUUCAGACGGGUUUAUCACCAUCGGCUGCAUGGCGAGUGGUUUCUCACCCGCGGACUCUCUUUCUUUCAAAUGGACGGAUUUUGAUAAGAAAUCGUUGAGUGAUGUCGUGCAGUAUCCGGCGUUCGGGAAAGACGGAGACUAUACCAAAAUCAGCCAUCUGCGCGUGAGAAAAAGCGAUUGGGAUCCCAAAAAACCUUACCAAUGCGAAGCGUCAAAUUCUCAAGGCGCGAAAGCAUCUUCUCUUGCUCCAAAAGCCCCACCGCCAGAUCUGCGUGCAACCCUGUUCUUAACAGAACCUACAAAAAUGGAGUUAGACAAUGAAACAGCAACCUUCAUGUGUUUAGCCCAGCGGUUUUCGCCUAAUGAAUACACAUUUAAGUGGUCUCUGAAUGAUAAAGAAGUGACAAAUGUGAUAGACACAUGUGACAAAACUGAGAAGAAAGAGUCAGUAACCAAAUAUAGCGCCACAAGCAUUUUGCAAAUCAGUGCCGCAGACUGGAAGAAGCAAAAUACGAAAAUGAAGUGCGAGUUCCUGCACAAGGCGGGAAAUUUAGCAAAAGAGGCUGAAUACUCAGCUCCUUAUGUAGAGUUCAACGAAAUCACCGUUGAUAUUGUUCCUCCUUCACAUAAAGACAUGCUGAAAAACAGAACAGGAGUGCUGAAGUGCAAAGCUUCAGCAGAGUUUUUGGGAUCCUUCAAUAUAACAAUAACAGCGAAUCAUAAGGACAUUGCCAAGAAACCAUUAGAGGGACAAAAUGUGGAACUUGACGCUCCAAUAGGCUAUGAAGAAUGGAGAAACGGCACUAAAUUUACAUGCAAGGUUGAACACGAUGACCUCGCGGAGCCCACGUUGAAAACGUUCAACAGAGAAAAUGUCCCAGGAACAGCCAAGAAACCCACAGUUUACAUAUUAGCGCCCCCAGAGCACAGACCAGACGAACCGGUGACCCUGACAUGUUACGUGAAAGACUUCUACCCCAAAGAGGUGUUUGUGUCUUGGCUUGCUGACGAUGAACCUGUGACUUCUAAAUACACCACUAGCCUGCCAAUUCAGAACGAUCAAACCUUUUCAGUCUACAGUCAGCUAACAGUUAAUGCUUCCAAAUGGAAGAAUGGCACAGUGUUCAGCUGUGUCGUGUAUCACGAAAGCAUCGAUGACAAUAUGCGCGUACUGACCAGAUCUAUUACUGACGAUACUGAUAAGGCAGGUGUAAUUAAUCUAAGUAUGAAUACUGCAUCUUGCAAGGCCUAGAGCAUUGUGUAUGUGGUGUCCUCCUGUUAUGCCUGUUAAGUGCUCAUUUUGUUUUCUCCUUUUGUCUUUUGGGUUGCAUGUCCAUUUUUGUAAUCGUGUUGGUCUUUAAUGUUUGUGGCUUCUUGCUUCUUUGAGAUACUUUCUUGCACGUUGCAUUUAGGAAGAGACUAAUAAAAAAGAAACAAAGCAUAA
Non-coding RNA from Puntigrus tetrazona (Sumatra barb), 1590 nucleotides. Lineage: Eukaryota; Metazoa; Chordata; Actinopteri; Cypriniformes; Cyprinidae. The record is from the annotation of a RefSeq genome assembly.